Long non-coding RNA from Salvia splendens (bonfire salvia), 248 nucleotides. RefSeq lists it as uncharacterized. The record is from RefSeq and is a predicted model, not a curated record. Lineage: Eukaryota; Viridiplantae; Streptophyta; Magnoliopsida; Lamiales; Lamiaceae. The transcript has 3 exons.
UCCUCCAAACCGCCAUCCCUCUCUAUUAAAUCUUCUCCUCAGUCUAUUCUUCUCUCUUUCUACGUUCUCUGCAGCAAGGAAAAAAAAACACAUCAUGCUCGAAUUCAAUUCAAGAAACCCAGAGCUCAAUCAAUUGAAUUACAAAAACUGAAUCUGCAAAAUCCAGUGGGCUACUCCUUUCGGUCCUACAAUUUCACAAUCGAUAUCGGAUUAUCGAGUUUUCAAAAAGGUUACCUUCGCAAGUAAAG